CCUACGGGAGGCUGCAGUCGAGAAUUAUUCACAAUGGGGGAAACCCUGAUGGUGCGACGCCGCGUGGGGGAAUGAAGGUCUUCGGAUUGUAAACCCCUGUCAUGUGGGAGCAAAUUAAAAAGAUAGUACCACAAGAGGAAGAGACGGCUAACUCUGUGCCAGCAGCUGCGGUAAUACAGAGGUCUCAAGCGUUGUUCGGAAUCACUGGGCGUAAGGCGUGCGUAGGCUGUUUCGUAAGUCGUGUGUGAAAGGCGCGGGCUCAACCCGCGGACGGCACAUGAUACUGCGAGACUAGAGUAAUGGAGGGGGAACCGGAAUUCUCGGUGUAGCAGUGAAAUGCGUAGAUAUCGAGAGGAACACUCGUGGCGAAGGCGGGUUCCUGGACAUUAACUGACGCUGAGGCACGAAGGCCAGGGGAGCGAAAGGGAUUAGAUACCCGGGUAGUC
RNAcentral lists this ribosomal RNA (446 nucleotides) under uncultured bacterium. Its description in RNAcentral is "partial 16S ribosomal RNA". It matches the Rfam family "Bacterial small subunit ribosomal RNA", at positions 338 to 795 of the family's 1533-position model. The record is from RNAcentral.